RNAcentral lists this unclassified non-coding RNA (431 nucleotides) under plant metagenome. RNAcentral's name for it is "partial contains 5.8S ribosomal RNA, internal transcribed spacer 2, and large subunit ribosomal RNA". The stretch from base 1 to 102 matches the Rfam family "5.8S ribosomal RNA", at positions 50 to 154 of the family's 154-position model. The record is from RNAcentral.
AAACUGCGAUAAGUAGUGUGAAUUGCAUUUAGUGAAUCAUCGAAUCUUUGAACGCACCUUGCACUCACUGGUAUUCCGGUGAGUACGCCUGUUUCAGUAUCAUUGAAAACACACAAUCAAAACAUUUUCUUUGGUUUGAUCGGCUUUGGGUCUAUCAAAAAGUUUGGCUUGUUUCUUACAAGCCAAGCGGCCUGAAAUAUAUUGUCUGGCUAAUUGCAUCGUUGAUGAUCGCUAUUAGACUUUGGCUUUUUUAAAUGAACUGGAGGUUGAUUAACCAGUUUUAGCUUUAGUCAAAUGGUCAUUGUAAAAAAAAUCUCGAUCUUGGCUAGGUGUUUAUAGCCGAAAAUUUUUUUUUGGCUAUAACCGAAACCAAUAUAAUCACAUUUAGUUAUCGAUCUGAAAUCAGGUGGGACUACCCGCUGAACUUAAGC